UCCUACGGGGGGCGGCAGUAGGGAAUAUUGGGCAAUGGACGAGAGUCUGACCCAGCCAUGCCGCGUGCAGGAAGACGGCGUUCUGCGUUGUAAACUGCUUUUAUCUGGGAAGAAAAUGCCCCUGCGGGGGAAAUUGCCGGUACCAGAUGAAUAAGCACCGGCUAACUCCGUGCCAGCAGCCGCGGUAAUACGGAGGGUGCAAGCGUUGUCCGGAUUUAUUGGGUUUAAAGGGUGCGUAGGCGGCUAUUUAAGUCAGUGGUGAAAGACUCCGGCUCAACCGGAGCAGUGCCAUUGAUACUGGAUAGCUUGAGUAUUGGAGGGGUACAUGGAAUUGAUGGUGUAGCGGUGAAAUGCAUAGAUACCAUCAGGAACACCGAUAGCGAAGGCAUUGUACUGGCCAAUAACUGACGCUGAUGCACGAAAGCAUGGGUAGCGAACAGGAUUAGAUACCCUGGUAGUCCAUGCCGUAAACGAUGAUUACUCGCUGUUAUGGCUUUAUGUUGUAGCGGCCAAGCGAAAGCGUUAAGUAAUCCACCUGGGGAGUACGCUCGCAAGAGUGAAACUCAAAGGAAU
This 573-nucleotide ribosomal RNA is filed under the name uncultured bacterium. RNAcentral's name for it is "bacterial SSU rRNA". It matches the Rfam family "Bacterial small subunit ribosomal RNA", at positions 337 to 910 of the family's 1533-position model. The record is from RNAcentral.